GGGGAUGUAGCUCAGUGAUGGAGCACUUGCUUAGUAAGCAUGAAAUUCUGGGUUCAAUCCUCAGUACCA
RNAcentral lists this transfer RNA (69 nucleotides) under Heterocephalus glaber (naked mole-rat). It matches the Rfam family "tRNA". Rfam says of the family: Transfer RNA (tRNA) molecules are approximately 80 nucleotides in length. The record is from Rfam by way of RNAcentral. Lineage: Eukaryota; Metazoa; Chordata; Mammalia; Rodentia; Bathyergidae.